Small nuclear RNA from Pristis pectinata (smalltooth sawfish), 105 nucleotides. The record is from RefSeq and is a predicted model, not a curated record. Lineage: Eukaryota; Metazoa; Chordata; Chondrichthyes; Rhinopristiformes; Pristidae.
GUGAGUCCAGAGAAUACAUAAACUAAACUUAGAAUGGUAUGAAGAAGAUUAUCAUGGCCCCUGCACAAGGAUGGCACACAAACCUAUGAGGCAUUUAAGAAAAAG